CGCACAUUGCGCCCCCUGGCAUUCCGGGGGGCAUGCCCGUUCGAGCGUCAUAACACCACUCAAGCCUGGCUUGGUAUUGGGCCUUCGGGACAACUCCGGGCUCCAAAUUCGUCGGCUAUAAAUUAGUAAAUGGGGAGUACUGUAGCACGGCGCCGUAAAUGUCGACACAUAUACGCGCGUAGUUUGUAGGCCCCUGCCUUUCGCGUUCGCAUCGGUGGCCCGCACUGAACACGAGUUUGACCUCGGAUCGGGUAGGAAUACCCGCUGAACUUAA
Molecule: unclassified non-coding RNA, 274 nt
Filed under: fungal sp.
Lineage: Eukaryota; Fungi
Description: partial contains 5.8S ribosomal RNA, internal transcribed spacer 2, and large subunit ribosomal RNA
Source: RNAcentral